AUUUUAGAAGCCAGAAUGAAGGACUUGCUGUAAAGAGGACACUGGAAAACUCUGUCCCAGAAAGAAAAAUCAUUGAGGGAAGCAAGAACUUAUUUUCCUGGAAGUGAAAACGAGCUGUAUUUCUGAGUUCAGAACUGCUUCUCCUUGAAAGAGGCCUCUGAAGAUUGUGGUUUGAUGAGACAGAAACUUCUGAAGUGGGAUGAAGGAAAUGUCUGGUCCAGAAUCCUGUUUGGGAAGUUGGUUCCUCCCAGCACAGACCCUGCAGCUGAUCACCUGCUGUGGGUCCACGUGAAGCAGAAACCAGCCGAGUCGAAAUUCUGUGCUUUUGUGACCCAAAGUAUCGAUUCCUCGGGUGUUCAGGGAAUUAUCAGUGAAGGACUUUGCACUUACCUGCGCCAUGGAUGUGGAUGUGGCUGGAAAAGCCUUUGUUCUCUCAUCCCACUUUGUUCACCACCCCACAGCUCGGCCCAGGAUCACUCACUGGCAUCAAUUCCUGCCUGGAAUUUUGGAACUCUUCAACCUGUGCCAGCGCUUCUCUGGUAUUUCACACAGGAAUUCGUGUUCCUUCCCUGCCCCGCUUCAUCCAGUAACAACAAAAAUCACUUUGAAGUGUUCACAGCCAAGACCUGGCAGAGGGAAAUGAGGGCUCUGAGCUCGCUUCAGAUGCAAAGCCAAUACAGAGUCCCCAUUGCAGGCUGA
RNAcentral lists this long non-coding RNA (699 nucleotides) under Cyanistes caeruleus (blue tit). RNAcentral's name for it is "lncRNA (ENSCCEG00000013662.1)". Lineage: Eukaryota; Metazoa; Chordata; Aves; Passeriformes; Paridae. The record is from RNAcentral.